Molecule: ribosomal RNA, 849 nt
Filed under: uncultured bacterium
Lineage: Bacteria
Description: bacterial SSU rRNA
Rfam family: Bacterial small subunit ribosomal RNA
Source: RNAcentral
GAACUGUGGGGGAUAGCCGGCCUAACGGCCGAGUAAUACCGCAUACGCUCUCAGUGAGGCAUUUCAUUGAGAGGAAACCUACGGGACACUUCGAGGGGCUCGCGGCCUAUCAGCUAGUUGGCGAGGUAACGGCUCACCAAGGCGACGACGGGUAGCUGGUCUGAGAGGAUGGCCAGCCACAUUGGGACUGAGAUACGGCCCAGACUCCUACGGGAGGCAGCAGUGGGGAAUCUUGCGCAAUGGCCUAACGGCUGACGCAGCGACGCCGCGUGUGGGAUGAAGCUCUUCGGAGUGUAAACCACUGUUGCCCGGGACGAAUAGCUCGAUUAAUCGAGCCUGACGGUACCGGGUGAGGAAGCACCGGCUAACUCCGUGCCAGCAGCCGCGGUAAUACGGGGGGUGCAAGCGUUGUCCGGAAUCACUGGGCGUAAAGGGCGCGUAGGUGGUUUGAUAAGGGUGUGGUGAAAGCCCGGGGCUCAACCCCGGGUCUGCCGUGCCGACUGUCAAACUCGAGGACUGUAGAGGCAGACGGAAUUCCGGGUGUAGCGGUGGAAUGCGUAGAGAUCCGGAGGAAGACCGGUGGCGAAGGCGGUCUGCUGGGCAGUUUCUGACACUGAGGCGCGACAGCGUGGGGAGCAAACAGGAUUAGAUACCCUGGUAGUCCACGCCGUAAACGAUGGGUACUAGGUGCCUGGGGGAGCGACCCUCUGGGUGCCGGCGCUAACGCAGGAAGUACCCCGCCUGGGGAGUACGACCGCAAGGUUGAAACUCAAAGGAAUUGACGGGGGCCCGCACAAGCGGUGGAGCAUGUGGUUUAAUUCGACGCAACGCGAAGAACCUUACCUAGGC